Molecule: ribosomal RNA, 452 nt
Filed under: uncultured bacterium
Lineage: Bacteria
Description: bacterial SSU rRNA
Rfam family: Bacterial small subunit ribosomal RNA
Source: RNAcentral
GACGAACGCUGGCGGCGUGCUUAACACAUGCAAGUCGAGCGGUAAGGCCCUUUCGGGGGUACACGAGCGGCGAACGGGUGAGUAACACGUGGGUGACCUGCCCUCAGCUCUGGGAUAAGCCUGGGAAACCGGGUCUAAUACUGGAUAUGACUCCAUGACGCAUGUUGUGGGGUGGAAAGCCUUGUGCGGCUGAGGAUGGGCCCGCGGCCUAUCAGCUUGUCGGUGGGGUGANGGCCUACCAAGGCGACGACGGGUAGCCGGCCUGAGAGGGCGACCGGCCACACUGGGACUGAGACACGGUCCAGACUCCUACGGGAGGCAGCAGUGAGGAAUCUUGCGCAAUGGGCGAAAGCCUGACGCAGCGACGCCGCGUGGAGGAUGAAGGUCUUCGGAUUGUAAACUCCUGUCGAGCGGGACGAAUGCCGUGAGGGUGAACAACCCUCGCGGUUGAC